GUGNUCACUUCGGCAGCAUAUAUACUAAAACUGGAACGAUACAGAGAUUAGCACGGUCUUUGCACAAGGAUGACACGCAAAUUUGUGAAGCGUUCCAUAUNUUU
RNAcentral lists this small nuclear RNA (104 nucleotides) under Salvator merianae (Argentine black and white tegu). The record is from RNAcentral. Lineage: Eukaryota; Metazoa; Chordata; Lepidosauria; Squamata; Teiidae.